Molecule: ribosomal RNA, 508 nt
Filed under: uncultured bacterium
Lineage: Bacteria
Description: partial 16S ribosomal RNA
Rfam family: Bacterial small subunit ribosomal RNA
Source: RNAcentral
GACGAACGCUGGCGGCGUGCCUAAUACAUGCAAGUCGAACGCUUCUUUCCUCCCGAGUGCUUGCACUCAAUUGGAAAGCGGAGUGGCGGACGGGUGAGUAACACGUGGGUAACCUACCCAUCAGAGGGGGAUAACACUUGGAAACAGGUGCUAAUACCGCAUAACAGUUUAUGCCGCAUGGCAUAAGAGUGAAAGGCGCUUUCGGGUGUCGCUGAUGGCUGGACCGGCGGUGCAUUAGCUAGCUGGUGGGGUAACGGCUCACCAAGGCGACGAUGCAUAGCCGACGUGAGAGGGUGAUCGGCCACACUGGGACUGAGACACGGCCCAGACUCCUACGGGAGGCAGCAGUAGGGAAUCUUCGGCAAUGGACGAAAGUCUGACCGAGCAACGCCGCGUGAGUGAAGAAGGUGUUCGGAGCGUAAAACUCUGUUGUUAGAGAAGAACAAGGACGUUAGUAACUGAACGUCCCCUGACGGUAUCUAACCAGAAAGCCACGGCUAACUACGUG